UACGGAGGGUGCAAGCGUUAUCCGGAUUUACUGGGCUUAAAGGGUGCGUAGGUGGGCAGGUAAGUCAGUGGUGAAAUCUCCGGGCUUAACCCGGAAACUGCCAUUGAUACUAUCUGUCUUGAAUUUCCUGGAGGUAAGCGGAAUAUGUCAUGUAGCGGUGAAAUGCUUAGAUAUGACAUAGAACACCAAUUGCGAAGGCAGCUUACUACGGGAAUAUUGACACUGAGGCACGAAAGCGUGGGGAUCAAACAGG
Molecule: ribosomal RNA, 253 nt
Filed under: uncultured bacterium
Lineage: Bacteria
Description: partial 16S ribosomal RNA
Rfam family: Bacterial small subunit ribosomal RNA
Source: RNAcentral